UCAAAAGAGGAAACAACAUUAUCGAAAUUGUUACUUUUCGGUGAGGCGGUUCAAAUAUUUUAACGUUUUAUUAAUAAAAGUGAAAAUUAUAAAAAAAAAAAAAUACCCGCAAUGCAUUCACUGGCGGAAUGGUUUGAUGCGAAAGAAGUUCAAGUGUUGCGGCGAGUGUAAUUGAGAUCUAUUGCAGCCAGCAUUUCGGUGAUUUUUACCAUAAAAUGGCGUGUGGUCCCGGCUGGUCCGACCAGUGUUCAAAUGUAAAUGAGUGUUCUCCUCAAAGAUACUACUGCGGUGGCGUUGAUAGGUAACCUAAAUGCAGGUAGCGUGGUAAUGUCUGUUCCAAAUAUUUUAUAUAAUCCUUUGAAUAGUACAAUCUACGCCGAAAG
This is a long non-coding RNA of Ceratitis capitata (Mediterranean fruit fly), 383 nucleotides long. RefSeq lists it as uncharacterized. NCBI's taxonomy places the organism in Eukaryota, Metazoa, Arthropoda, Insecta, Diptera, Tephritidae. The transcript is spliced from 3 exons. The record is from RefSeq and is a predicted model, not a curated record.